CUUCCAGCAAUAUAUAUAUAUAUAUUAAUAUAGAUAUGUAUUUAUGUCACAUGCUAUAUACAAAUAAAUAAAAGGGGGAGGGGCUUGUUCCUGGGUCCACCCAUCAUUAUACUCAUUUGGCGAGAGAGAGACCUUCGGGGCGGAGUUGAGGAAUGGGGGGGCGGGGGAAGGUUUGGGCAG
Molecule: long non-coding RNA, 180 nt
Organism: Nanorana parkeri
Lineage: Eukaryota; Metazoa; Chordata; Amphibia; Anura; Dicroglossidae
Exons: 3
Source: RefSeq, a predicted model, not a curated record